ACCUGCGGAGGGAUCAUUACAGAGUUGCAAAACUCCCAAACCAUUGUGAACGUUACCUUUACCGUUGCUUCGGCGGGCGGCCCGGGUCCUGCCCGGCGCCCCUCGGCCCUCGCGGGCGCCCGCCGGAGGUAAACCAAACUAUUGCAUUGUAUGGCCUCUCUGAGUCUUCUGUACUGAAUAAGUCAAAACUUUCAACAACGGAUCUCUUGGUUCUGGCAUCGAUGAAGAACGCAGCGAAAUGCGAUAAGUAAUGUGAAUUGCAGAAUUCAGUGAAUCAUCGAAUCUUUGAACGCACAUUGCGCCCGCCAGUAUUCUGGCGGGCAUGCCUGUUCGAGCGUCAUUUCAACCAUCAAGCCCCCGGCUUGUGUUGGGGACCUGCGGCUGCCGCAGGCCCUGAAAACCAGUGGCGGGCUCGCUAGUCACUCCGAGCGUAGUAGUUUACAUCUCGCUCAGGGCGUGCUGCGGGUUCCGGCCGUUAAAAGCCUUAUUUACCCAAGGUGA
Molecule: unclassified non-coding RNA, 501 nt
Filed under: Chaetomium sp. Eis-2
Lineage: Eukaryota; Fungi; Ascomycota; Sordariomycetes; Sordariales; Chaetomiaceae
Also listed under: 1 other name
Description: partial contains ITS1, 5.8S rRNA, ITS2
Rfam family: 5.8S ribosomal RNA (bases 187-340)
Source: RNAcentral